Long non-coding RNA from Trachemys scripta elegans, 1017 nucleotides. RefSeq lists it as uncharacterized. Lineage: Eukaryota; Metazoa; Chordata; Testudines; Emydidae. The transcript is spliced from 3 exons. The record is from RefSeq and is a predicted model, not a curated record.
GGCAGCAAAGGAUGUCCAUGCUCAGGCUGUAGAGUUGAGAACUAUACCUCUGAAAACCAGUGGCCCAUUUAAAGAACUCACUCAAUUCCUUUCUUAGAGUCAGCCACUGAAUUUGCACAGAACUACAACCAUUUAAGUGGUACUAAAGCUGUGCUAAACUUUUGCACUGGAAGAUAAUUAGGCUGAUUUGACCAGAUAAUUCUCCCCGGCACAGACUCUCAGCCUGAAUGACCUUCUUCCAUAAAGAUUCUUUACCUUUGUGCUGUUUAUGAUGCACCAGAUAGUGUCAGCUCUAUCUAGGGAGAUGGUUGUGAGACGCAGAAAGAGAAGAAGGCAGCUCUGAUAACCCUUUGAGUAUGUAAACUACCUGAAUGAACUUUCUCGCUAUGUCGAGAAACCACCCAGGGCGACAGUGGUGCAGAGCUGGAGAACACGCCUUCAUGCCAGUUUUAAUGGUUAAGUACCAAAUUCCAUGCAUUUUGUUUACUCCAAUAAAAACUUUAUUUUGAAGCUAUGUGAGUUAAAACCACCAUCAGGAUGAUUUCAGUUAUCUGAAUUCCCUUUAUCCAGAAAUCCUAGUUAUCCGAAUGCACAGUGGGUCCCCCCGUAGUGCUGUGUUAGUUAAUCACACUCUGAUGAACUCACCUUAGGGCUGUGGGAGCUGCGAUUUGGGAGGAUUUCCAGAGUUAGAGAUGAGGACAAGGAAAAAAGGGAAGAAUUAGGGAGAAGAUGGGGAGGAGAGAAUAGGUGGGGAGGGAGAGAAAAGCAAACAGGCAAGAAAGAAUAAGAUGAAGGGGUUACAGUUAAGACUGAAAGGAGAAGGGCUCAGGAAGAGAAAGGACAAAGGGAGAGACAGGACAGCAGUUAAGGGAAAGAGAACAGGGCAGGAGGGAGGGGAAUGAAGAGAGACAGAGAAGGAUGGAGGAGAGAAAAAGCUCAGUGUUUCCCCAUGACCUAUAAAUAUAGGGACUCUGUCUCCUCUCUACUCUGAAACCUCUCUAUCUUUGUGUCUCUUCU